Molecule: long non-coding RNA, 11565 nt
Filed under: Medicago truncatula (barrel medic)
Lineage: Eukaryota; Viridiplantae; Streptophyta; Magnoliopsida; Fabales; Fabaceae
Description: long non-coding RNA (MTRU_LNC005448)
Source: RNAcentral
UCUUGAUCGUUUCAUCGAUCUUUAUUCUGAUUUCAAUUGUGAUUCACUUGUCCUCUUUUCAAUUUGAGAUUGCGUUUUGAUCGCGAAUUUUCGUUCUCACCUUUUCUCCCUCAUUUCUAGGGUUCCGUGAUUUGUUACUUCAUCAAUUGCAAUUUCCAGUUUCUGAAUCUCGCGAUUUCGUGAUUUGAUUUCUUAUGUUCUUGCGAUUGCAAUUCUGUUUCAUCGCAUUUCUUUACUGUUCGAUUUUGUUUUGCGUCUUUCCCCAAUUCUUAGGGUUUCAGAUUCGUUUUAUCUGUACCUUGAGAUUUUGGCGUUUUGGUCCUUAUCACUUAUGGAUAUUGCUUCCAAGGUGUUUGUUGAAGGUCCUCAUUGGGAAGAAUGAUGGGUACUGUGUUCGGUUUGACCGUGCAGGUUGUUUGUUUUGAGAGAUUUAUGGAGAAUUCUUGAUUCUGGAAGUUAUAGAUGGAGAUUCAUUUUUGAUUAUUUUUGAAGAUUUGGAGUUAUCAAUUUGUUAGUGACUUUCAAGUGCAAUCUACUUCUUUUUGCGAUCGUGCUCUAUUGGAUUUUGUAUUUCACUGUCGUAUACGUGAGGAUGGGAGUCAAUAUCUAUGUGGCUGAUCUUGUUCCUUGCCGCUUUGAAGCUCUAGUUGCUGGCAAUAUUGUCUCUGCAGUUCAGUCUUUGGUAAUCAUCUAUUCUACUGCCAUUGCUCUCUUUUCUCCAUAUAUUCUUUGAAGUUGUUUCGUUUUACAAGAAUUAGCUAUCUGGUUUGUGUUGCAAUUUUCUGCAUAUAUGUUCUUUGUAUGUGAGGGAUUAUAAUGCUCACAAGAUUCUUGGUUAUUGGCAUUGAUGAGUAUUUGGUAGUUGUUGAAGUUAUAAUGCCUUUGGAACUUUGAUCUUUGUUGGUUAUUGCUUAUGGUGAACCUGACGUGAACUUAGAUGCUGAAUACAUGGAUGGAUUUAUGUAGAAAUGUAGUUCUGGCUUAUUGCUAUUUCAACAUAUCUUGUUGGCAAGAUACAUUCUGUUUUAGUCAUCCAUCAUUGUGGACCUAUGGCACUUUUUCAAGAGAUUUUAUGGAAGUGCAUGGUGUAAUAUUAAAAGGCAUUGCAUCAGUAUCUCUCCUAUAUGAUUGAAGUUUAUGUAGCUUUGUUAAACAAGACAAUUUUCUCAUGGCUGUAAGUGCCUCCUUCACAAUUGAAUUGGAUUCUGCUUUGAGUAUAUGCAUUCUCUCUUUGUCCUGGAUCGUGUGUGAAGUUUGUUCAACAUAUGACCUCCUUCCAUUGUAGACUUUGGCCCUUCCUUGCACUUCUUUUCUUUUGGAUAUCAUCAUUGAUUUUGGAUAUCCUUGUUUUUCUUGUCUUGUGCUUCUGUUCAUGAUGGUUAAGCUAUGUUAAUAAGCUUCUGUCAUGAAUGGUUAAGCGUUGUGCUUCUGUCCAAGGAUGGUUAAGCGUCGUUUUUCUUCUUCUUCUUCUUGUGCUUCUGUCUUGAGUUAUUGAAAACUCUUGAUGGUUAAGCGUUAUGCCUUUUAUGGCUUUGUGAAUAUUGGCUUCUACCGGAUGGUGGUUAAGCGUUGCUUUGAUGCUCCUUCAUUCAAUUGGUUCAACCUUGAGUUGUGGUUGCUUCUUGUUGGAUAAGCACUUGCUUGAUGACUAUGUUUUUUUUUUAGCCGAUGUGUUUCCGGCAUCUUUCCUUGUAUUUUCUCAUUUCAAGUUGAAAGUGUUUUGAACACCUUCCAACUUGAGGGGGACUAUUAGAGAUACUAGUUUGUAGUAGUAUAUAUACUUGUAAUAACCCCAUUAGUGGGAUAACUUCCUCAUUUGUAAUAUUACAUUUUACUAUCAAUAGAACAAUUUCAUAACCUUUUCUCUCCUUCAUCCUGGAUAUCAUGUUUCCUAACACUUAUGUUACCUAACAUUUAUUGGAUAUAUCAAACUAUGUUUUUAUCACAUUCUUGCAGGUUAACAUUCGUCUGUCUAGCUUUUAACGGGUUUUGUGAUGGUAUCUCUUCCUUUUCGUGUUUGAUAGUUUUCGGUGCUCUCUUCUGCAUCAUCCAAAUAAUAGUGUUAGCUUAUGCUUUAGUGCAACCUUUGAGAAUCAGAGAAGGUGCUUCAGAAGAUGAUAUCAAGUCACUUCCUAUGUAUAGGUUUAGUCAGCCAAAUGUAAUGAUUAUGGUUGAUAAGAACAAGAAGCAACUUGAUGAAGCAAGAAUUGGUUCGCACAAUCAAAGCCAUAUCAGUGAACUAUCUCUUCAUCCAGAUGAUUCUGUAAGUACAAACUGGGUCUUCUCUUAUCUCUCAAUCCUUAAUUCUUUAGUUUUUCUUUAGUUUUAAUAUCAAUGUAUUGUAACUUGUAAUUAACUUUAUGUAUGAAUUGGAUCUUUUCUCAAAAAAAAAAAUGUAUGAAUUGGAUCUAUAUAUGAUUGGACUAUAUGGUUAAUGAAUUGAAAAAUUGUUGCAAUCCUCAAUGUUAUCUUUGAUUUGUUCUUAAAUAUGCUUGUGUUUAUAAUUGAUUUCAAUAAAAUCCUAUCUAGAAAAUAUUCUCCCCAUUCAUCUAAUGUAUUUUAAACUUAUUUUUUUUGGAAGAGGGUUCAAUGUGAAUUUGGUAUGACCUGAAAAUUGCUUCCCGUGAUUCUUUGAUGCUUGUCAUACAGUUGAGAUACAUUAUGAAACUACAGAAAGAGACUAACCACUUCUGAUUAUGCUGUAGGAGUGUUGUAUAUGCCUCUGUUCAUAUGUUGAUGGAACAGAACUGUAUCGCCUUCCAUGUACCCACCAUUUUCAUUGCGAAUGCAUCAGUCGUUGGCUUCGGACAAAAGCAACUUGCCCACUCUGCAAAUUUAAUAUCCGAAGAGGUGAUAUAUUGGUUUGAUAUUUCGUUGAUAAAGACUAGAUAGCACUGAGGUGAAGUAUCACUUAAAUGGGACAUGACAGUGGAGAACCAAAAUAUUUGCUAAUCUGCUGACUAGUGUUGGUACAUAAGUUGAAAACAAGAAGGAAAUGCCCCACCCUCUCAUCUUUGUCUUUGAAUUCUAGUUUCCUUAGAGGUAAUUUAACUUUUUAACCAGUCUUGAGGGUUUACACCAUAAGUUGUACUUAUAAGGCAAAUUUAAUUUAUUUUUUUAUGCAAACUUACAAGGCAAUUAAAGAAACAAUUUUAUGUACAGUAAUAAUUUUUUUGACCACUUUCUCCAUCUCCACUCACAAUUAAAUUCAAAACUAUGUAUGAAAGUUACACUUCUCAAAUUUUAUUUUAUUUUUUCAACUGCCAUUGGCCGACGACGCUUAACCGCCAUUUGGCUCUCCAACGACAGUUAAGUGUCGUUCGACACUUUUAAGAUCGGUUUCACCACUUUUUAAGCCGAUUCAAAAAGUAGGUUGAACGGCGGUUAGCUAUCGUUAGAGGUAAAUGGAUAAUUUCGGGGUGUUUUGGAUUUUUUUUGGAAAUGAGAAGAGUAAUUUUCACUUUAUACACACCUUAUACUCGGUAAAUAGUGGGAUCACAAUGGAAAAUGAAGGACAAUUGGGCUACCAAUGUGGAAAAGUUUACUUGAGCUUAUCAUAUUGGGAAAAAUUCAAAUUCUAUAGUUAAAAUCUGUUUUUUUUUUUUUAAAAGUUAAUUAACAUUGUGAAUACCAACUACCAAGUGUCUCUUUUGUUUUGUUAUUUUAUUAGACUAAAUUUUUUUAGAAUCAGCAAAUUUUAUUCACACAAGCGUGUGCAAGAAACACAACAAAAACUCGCGGGCAGCACAAGAACAAUACGACAGACACUGAAAUACCAGAAACCCCACAAACAGCAACAAAAAGCUCCCACAACGCAUGACAGAAAGCCUGUAAGAAGCAAAAACCAGAAAACAAAAACUGCUAACAGAACAGCAGACCUGAGGCUAACAUAUACAAAACUGCAGUACACCAAACCGAAGCUCAUAUAUAAAACUUAAUUAACUUCUUAUGUAUGUUGUUUUAGUUCACGCGUGAUGCAUGUGAACAAUGAACUUAGUUAAAGUAGCAGGUAGAUGAAAAAGGAAGGAUAUAAUGAUUAAAAAUAUUAAAAGGCAUUAGAGGCAUUUUUGUCAAAAAGGGUGUACUAGAAAAAGUCCUAUUAUACUUCUUUGUGGCUCUUAUAUUAUUAUUUCUCUCUCUUUUUACCAUUUCUUUUCACAUCCUAACAUAAAUGGAGAGUUUGAAAUCCUAACAUGCAAAACGCUUUUGGAAAUGAAAAUGAUGAUCGGUGCAGGUGCAUAUUGCGCGUUAACCCGUAACCCCCUUCUGCUGCUAUCCCGCUCCUUCAACAUUUUUCCUAAACUCACCCCCCUUCAAAAAAGGGUCUACUAGAAAAACUCCUCUUUUCACAUCCUAACAAAAAUGGAGAGUUUGAAAUCCUAACAUGCAAACCCCUUUUGGAAACGAAAAUGAUGAUCACCGGUGCAUAUUGUGCGCUAACCCGUAACCCCCUUCUGCUAUCCCGCUCCUUCAACAUUUUUCCUAAACCCACCCCCCUUCAAUUUCCAACUACACCCUCUCCUUCGUUUCCUUCAUUUAACCGCUUUCCAUCUCUCUUCCCUCAACUGUGCAUCCGUCAUUCUCGCCUCUCCACCCUCCCUCAUAAUGACUCCGGCGGAUUUGGCGGUGAUAGUGGCUCUGGAGGAUGGGAUCCCGGCGACAAUGAUUCCGAUGACGGAGGCGGAAAAUGGUCAUUCUUGUCAUGGUAAACAAAAAAUAUUGCUUUGACUUUGUCCAUAAAGUUAGUUAGGGUGUGUUGGAAGAGUACCUUAAGAUAUACUCCCUCCGUCCUAAAAUAUAAGCAAAAACAAAUUUUGAACAAAAUACAUUAACUUUUAUUGACCAAAUUUUGCUUACAUGUUAGGACGGAGGACGGAGGGAGUAAGCAUUUUUAUAAUUCAGAGAACUUGUACAAUUUGUAUUUUUGGUAGAUUGAAGAAAUGACAAUAGCCAUUAGAAACUCACACACGUAUAAGUGCAGGAGCCGGAGUUCGAACUCUGGAGUCUGGAAUGAGCACAGUCAGCUUAUAAUAGUUUAGCCUACUCUAUCUAUAGAAGAUCAAACCCGUUGUCUCCACGCUCACUACCAAAAUGGGGUGGUGGAGAGGAAACUUAGACAAGUUGUUGAACUCGGACUCGUGUUUAUGUUUGAGUGAUUGAUGUUAUGGUGUUAUAUGAGAUAAAUGAUGGUUUUCUAAUGUCUUUAUUUGUUUCAGCAUUGCGAAGAAGACCGAGCCUAUGAAUACACUGGUAUUAUCUGCUUUCUUGGUUUUUGGAUUUUCUUGUAUUGUUGUUGGUGGUCAAGCUCUUGUGGAAGUUCCUUUUCUCCUCUUCGGGUAAGAACCAUAGCUUUGAUGUGUUGUUUCCUUUUUCAUUUCUUUGGAGGGAAGCUGGGCGGAUAAUAAAUUUUUGCGUGAAUGCCAAGAGAGAGUAGUCAAAGUAGUAUAGAUUUGUGAUACUGAGUAAGUAACCAUCAACAUCUUAAUUUAAUUUAUUCAAAAAAAUAAAAACAUCUUAAUUUAAGACAACUGUUUUAAAAAAGAACCGAAUUUCAACUAUUCCACGGUUCCUUCACUAAGCAAAAUAACCAGGGAGUAGAUAAUUGUAGAUUAUUCUGUCUUUGUUUAAAUCGGAUAUAUAAAGGAGUGUGGAAAUGAAGAGAAAAAUGAAUGGUUACAUUGCACCCACAAUUAGUCAUUGUUGAAGUGUUAUUUUAAGAAGCUCCGAUUCAGGUCUGACCCUUCCCUGCACCUUGACCUGAUGGAAGCUUAAUAGCAUUGUGGUGUUCUUUUUAUUUAUUUAUUUUCAUUAAGAAUACUCUUAGCUUUUGUUCUGUCCUUCAAUUGUUUUACUGGAAUUGAGGUGCAGUUGUACAAGGUCCUUCCUUUUCUUCAGGAAAUAAUAACAAUUUCUCAAUUCUCACAAGAUGUCCAGAUAAUUUACAUUUGUCUUGCAGUUAAAGUAUUUUCAACCGUGAUUGAUGAACUCUGUUGAAUAGUUUGGCUUUUGUUUGGGACUAACAGGCUUCAAAUUGUUGAAAUAUUAUAACCUAAAACUUCAACUGAAAAUUCGGAGUUGCCUUUUCCAUGAAAUGGUGCAUAGGAAAAUGCUUGUAUUUCUUGGCCAAGAUAAAUUUUGAAGUAGGCUCUAGUGGAAGUGUGGUUACCAUGACUAUUUCAAACAAGACCUGUCCAACGCUUAAGCUUGGCCUGAUUUAAUUGGAAUUUGACCUGUUGUUGAACCUAGUUGUUCAGAGUCUGAAAGACUAAGGCUCUGUCAAAAGGCUGAGCUUAACCCAGAAUAGAUAAUAUAAUUUUUUUUGGUAUUUCACCGAUUCAUUACUUGUUUACUUCAUCCUCUAACAUCAUAUGCUCUUAUUUGACAUAAUUAUUCGCUCUUUUGUUACCUAAAAUUUAUUGGAUAUAUCAAACAAUGUUUUUAUCACAUUCUUGCAGGUUAACAAUGGUCUGUCUAUCCCUUAACGAGUUUUUUGAUGCUGUCUUUUCCUUUUGGAUAUAUUUGAUAGUUUUCGGUGCUCUCUUCUGCAUUGUCCAAAUAAUAGCGUUAGCUUAUGCUUUAACGCAACCUUUAAGAAUCAGAGAAGGUGCUUCAGAAGAUGAUAUCAAGUCACUUCCUAUGUAUAGGUUUUGUCAGCCAAAUGUAAUGAUUAUGGUUGAUAAGAACAAGACACAACUGGAAGCAAGAACUGGUUCCCACAAUCGUAGCCAUAUCAGUGAACUAUCUCUUCAUCCAGACGAUUCUGUAAGUACAAACUGGGUCUUUCUCUUAUCUCUCAAUCCUUAACUCUUUAGUUUUAAUAUCAUUGUGUUGUCACUUGUAAUUAACUGUAUGUAUGGAUUGGAUCUAUAUAUGAUUGGACUAGAUGGAUUGAAAAAUUGUUGCAAUCCUCAAUGUUAUCCUUGAUUUGUUCUUAAAUAUGCUUGUGUUUAUAAUUGAUUUCAAUAAAAUCCUACCUAGAAAGUAUUCUCCCCAUUCAUCUAUUGUAUUUUAAACUUAUUUAUUUUUUGGAAGAGGGUUGAAUGUGAAUUUGUUACCCCCUGAAAAUUGCUUCCCGUGAUUCUUUGAUGUUUGUCAUACAGUUGAGAUACAUUAUGAAACUACAGAAAGAGCGACUAACUACUUCUGAUUAUGCUGUAGGAGUGCUGUAUCUGCCUAUGUCCAUAUGUUGAUGGAACAGAACUAUAUCGCCUUCCAUGUACCCACCAUUUUCAUUGUGAAUGCAUCGGUCGUUGGCUUCGGACAAAAGCAACUUGUCCACUCUGCAAAUUUAAUAUUCGAAUAGGCGAUAUAAUGGUUUGAUAUUUUGUUGAUUAAGACUAAAUGGCACUGAGGUGAAGUAUCACUUGAAAGGGACAUGACAGUGGAGAACCAAAAUAUUUGGUAAUAUGCUGACUACUGUUGGUAUAUAAGUAGAAAAGAAAAAGGAAAUUCCCCACCCUUUCAUCUUUGGGUUUUUGUUUCCAUAGAGGUAAUUUAACUUUUUAACCGGUCGUAAGACCAUCCACAACAGAGCACCCAAAAGUGGGUGCUUAAAUGGGUCAUCUGGGUCCCUAUCAUUAAUUUUACCAUAUGCGGAGAUGAUUUGGCACAGACAGGUUCCUUUGAAGGUAUCCGUCUUUGCUUGGCGGCUUCUUCGUGAUCGGUUGCCUACCAAAUCGAAUCUGAUCUAUAGAGGUGUAAUUCCAACAGAAGCUGGUUUGUGUGUUUCUGGUUGCGGUGCCUUGGAAUCGGCACAACAUUUGUUUCUCUCUUGUUCGUAUUUUGCUUCACUUUGGUCGUUGGUUCGUGAUUGGAUUGGUUUUGUUGGAGUGGACACUAAUGUUUUGUCUGAUCACUUUGUUCAGUUUGUUCACUCAACAGGUGGCAAUAAGGCUUCUCAGUCUUUUCUCCAGCUUAUUUGGCUUCUUUGUGCCUGGGUUUUAUGGACUGAACGUAACAAUAUGUGUUUCAAUGAUUCUAUUACUCCUUUACCCAGGUUGCUUGACAAAGUUAAAUAUUUGUCUCUAGGUUGGUUGAAAGCUAGAAACGCUUCUUUUUUGUUUGGCACUUUUAGUUGGUGGUCAAACCCGUUACAAUGUUUGGGUAUUGGCUAACUUGUUUUUGUUGUUGUACUGAACUCUGUAGUAGUCUUUGUGGCACAUCUUGUGCUAUUGAGACUCUUGUUGUUAAUAUUAUUUCAUUUUUGAUUGUUCAAAUUUUUUUUUUACCAUAAUAGUUAAUAAGCACCAAUUUUCUCCAGUCCAGCACCUCAAAAGAAAUUAUUAAAUAGGUCCCACAAAUAAUUCUAUAUCAUUACAUUUUAACAAAAUUUAUAUAGUUUAUUAAGAUUUAUUAAAUAGGACUUGUGAAAAAUGAAGAGAGAGAGGGUGCUUCCAUAGCCACCAUUCUCCAUAGGCACCCAAAUAUUUUACUCCAUAAUGGGAGUGCCUAUUUAAUGUGGUGCUAAAUACGUUAAACACUAUUUUUGUAUUUUAGACAACUUGUACCUGGGACAAAAAGUUGUGUUGUGGUUUGGCGAGGGACAAAAAUUGCAGUUUUUGUCCUGUCCCUUGCCUCCAGCUUGUCAUGUCCCUGAAACUGUUUUACAAUUCGAACACUGGACAACUGAAGUUGUUCUGUCCUGUCCUUUAUUUUUUAUUAAAUCAAACGCACCCUAAUAUUUUUUUGAGCACUUUCUCCAUCUCCACUCACAAUUAAAUUUAAGACUUUCUAUGAAAGUUACUCUUUUCAAAUUUCUCUUUUUUUUUUUCAACUGCAUUGGCCGAGCGACACUUAACUGUCGUUUGGCUCUCCAACGACAAUUAAAUGCGGUUUGACACUUUUAAGAUCGGUUCCACCACGUUUUAAAUCGAUUUAACCGAUUUAAAAAGUGUCAUGAACGGUAAGUUGGCUGUCGUUGGAGUUGAAUGGAUAGUUUCAGGUUGUCUUGGACAAAUUUUGGAAAUGAGGGGUAAUUUCCACUGUACAUGCACCUUAUUUAUACUCGGCAAAUUGGGAUCACAAUGGGAAGGACAAUUGGGCUAGCGAUGUAUUUGGAAAAGUUUACUUGAGCUUAUCAUAUUGGGACAAAUUCAAAUUCUAUAGUUAAAAUCUUUUUUUUUUUAAAGUUAAUAUUGUGAAUACCAACUAACUAGCAUGUGUCUCUUUUGUUUUGUUAUUUUAUGGACUAAUUUGACUAAUGAAAAUCACAUUUUUAGUAACAAAAACAUACGAUUGGAAAGAACAAAAGACUAACAAAAACUUACCAAUUUUGUUUAUUUUGUUUUGUUUUACUAAUAAGUAUGCAUGUUUUAUAUUUAGCUAUCCAUAUAAUAUAUGAUCCUUUCCGUCAUUAUUGUAAGUAAAUAUUCUUUUCACAAAUCAAUUGAAUUACUGAUGUAUUUGAUCUAUAUUAUAAAUUAUAUAAAUCAAUUAAUCAAUAAAUUUGAAAAACGAAUCUCAUUAAAAGAAAAGAAUUUGAAAAACGAAUCUUUGUUUAUGAUAGUGAACAGUGAGAAUAUUUAACUACUCUAAAUUAAAUUUAUUUGUACAAAAAUUAGUAAAACCAUGAAAGUCAAAAGAUUAUUACAUAAUUGAUAAAUUGUUUUUGGACUUAUCUUGACCCUUUGAGUCUUUUCAGCAGUUACAAAAAGAGUUUUGUUAGCAAUAGAUUUCUUGCAUUUUAAUUAAUGUGAGUAAAAGUUUUGGGAUUUUUUUUGCUCAUAAGCUAAUUUAAUAUAUUAAUCAUAAAAAUAUAUUUUUUAUCUUUGUAUAUUUUGUCCUCUCGUAAUUCUAGCUUCACUGCCGUUAGGGUUGGGAAUAGGCCAGGCCGGCCUACAGGGGCCUAUGGCCUGGCCUGUUUAAGCCUGGCCUGGCCUGGCCUGUUUAUUAAAAAGGCUAGGCUUAGGCUUUUUAAAAAGCCUAUUUAAGUAAAUAGGCCAGGCUUAGGCUAUAAAAAAAGCCUAUGAAUCCUAAUAGGCCGGCCUGUUUAUGCAUGUUAGGCUUCAUAGUGGACUUUUUAAAUAGGCUUUAAAGCUUUAUAGUGAAAUAUGUUUUUAAGGCCUUAUAGUGAUAGACAAAUCUUACACUGGAAUAGACUUUGAAGCCUAUUAAGCCUAUUUAAAAGUAGAUAAAAUGGAAUGUUUAGUGACUUUAAUAGUAAGUAGGCUUUCAGGUCAGGCCAGGCUUUUAAAUAGGUCAGGCCAGGCCAAAAUAAUAGGCCUAUGAAAGGCCAUAGGCCAGGCUCAGGCCUGCAAAUUUUUUCGUAGGUCAGGCUCAGGCCUAUCAAAGCCUGGCCUGACCUGGCCUAUUCCCAACCCUAACUGCCGUACUCAAAGAUCAAAAUAACUAACUAAAGAGACACUUAAAAAAUAUUUUUAAUUUUCAUAUAAUUUAUCAAAGAUUAUAGUGACACUAAAACUGUUGUUUAUCACAUUUAUAUUAAAUAAACAACAUAUAUGCAGCAAGUUGAUACCAUUUUUUGUAUGAAAUGCAGCAUGUUGUUACCAUUGAAAGGCCUGCAACACGGCCAAUGCAUUUUUAAAAGAGAAAACUCGUAUUUUCUGGUGUAGAUUAGUUUAAGCACAAGUGCUAAGUUUAAUCUCUAAAAACUAAUAUUCUCUUUCCCUCAAAAAAAAAACUAACAUUUAACGAUAAAAAAUAAUUAUAUUUAAUUUCUUUUUUAAAAAUUCAGAUACCAAAAUUUAGUUUUCAGUGUGAAAACCUAAUACUUACGCACACUCAACUUUAAGUUUUAAGUUAAGUGUAAACAAAAACACUUGAGUUAGAGAGAAAUCCUCAAAAGAGUUAAAUGAUGACGAGAACAUAAACCUCUUAAAAAACACACAUAACACAAAGGUUGUAAAACCCAUUUAGAACCGAGAAUGAUGUCUGGAACUGGAACAUGUUGUGCACUAACCCAAAACCCCCUUCUGUUAUCCCGCUCCGUCACCUUUUCUCCUCAACCGCCCACCCCCCUUCAAUUUCCAACAACACCCCCCUUUAACCGCUUUCCACCUCCCUUUGCUCAACUGCGCUUCCGUCAUUCUCGUCUCUCUGCCCUCUCCGGUGAUGGUUCCGGUGGUACUGGUGGUGACGGUGGCUCUGGAGGAUGGAAUUCCGGUGACAAUGAAGCUGAUGAUGGAGGAGGAACAUGGUCAUUCUUGUCAUGGUAAACACAUUUUUUACUUAAUAAUUUAGUUUUUUUUUUUUUUUUUUUUGGUUAGGGUGUAUUUGGUAGAGUAUCUUAAUCUUAUGACAUGCACUUGUAUAAAGAGAACUUAUGGCAUGUUUGAAUUUAUCUACUGACAUAAGCACUCUUUCAGAGAACUUCUGAAAACAAAUUAUCACAUGUUUAUAAGAUGUUUUUAAAUUGUUUUCUUAAGCUCUUCGAGCGCUUAUCAUAAUAAGUGUUAAUGCUACAAGCUGCAAAUUAAGCUUUGUAUCUAAACAGGACCUUAUUAAAAUAGCUUAUGAAAUCUUCAGCUUAUUUAAAUAAGCGCAUUUGAUUAUUUUAUGCAAAUAACUAAAAAUUUAUAUGUAAGCAGUUUAACCACAUUGGUUAUU